AGUGAACGCUGGCGGUAGGCCUAACACAUGCAAGUCGAACGGCAGCACAGUAAGAGCUUGCUCUUACGGGUGGCGAGUGGCGGACGGGUGAGGAAUACAUCGGAAUCUACUUUUUCGUGGGGGAUAACGUAGGGAAACUUACGCUAAUACCGCAUACGACCUACGGGUGACAGCAGGGGAUCUUCGGACCUUGCGCGAUUGAAUGAGCCGAUGUCGGAUUAGCUAGUUGGCGGGGUAAAGGCCCACCAAGGCGACGAUCCGUAGCUGGUCUGAGAGGAUGAUCAGCCACACUGGAACUGAGACACGGUCCAGACUCCUACGGGAGGCAGUAGUGGGGAAUAUUGGACAAUGGGCGCAAGCCUGAUCCAGCCAUACCGCGUGGGUGAAGAAGGCCUUCGGGUUGUAAAGCCCUUUUGUUGGGAAAGAAAAGCAGCAGGUUAAUACCCCGCUGUUCUGACGGUACCCAAAGAAUAAGCACCGGCUAACUUCGUG
This 492-nucleotide ribosomal RNA is filed under the name uncultured bacterium. RNAcentral describes it as "partial 16S ribosomal RNA". It matches the Rfam family "Bacterial small subunit ribosomal RNA", at positions 29 to 507 of the family's 1533-position model. The record is from RNAcentral.